GGGUGCGCGUGCUAUAACAUGCAGUCGAGCGAAUCAAUGGGAGCUUGCUCCCGUUGGUUAGCGGCGGACGGGAGAGUAGCACGUGGGCAACCUGCCUGUAGGACUGGGAUAACUUCGGGAAACCGGAGCUAAUACCGGAUAAUUCUUUUCCUCUCAUGAGGAAAAGCUGAAAGUCGGCUUCUACUGGCACUUACAGAUGGGCCCGCGGCGGAUUAGCUAGAUGGCGAGGUAACGGAUCACCAGGGCGACGAUGGGUAGGCGACCUGAGAGGGUGAUCGGUGACACUGGGACUGAAACCCGGCCCAAACUCCUACGGGAGGCAGCAGUAGGGAAUCUUCCACAAUGGACGAAAGUCUGAUGGAGCGACGCCGCGGGAGCGAUGAAGGCCUUCGGGUCGUAAAGCUCUGAUGUUAGGGAAAAACAAGUAUCGGAGUAACUGACGGUACCUUGACGGUACCUAACCAGAAAGUCACGGCUAACUACGUGCCAGCAGCCGAGGUAAUACGUAGGUGGCAAGCGUUGUGCGGAAUUAUUGGGCGUAAAGCGCGCGCAGGCGGUCCUGUAAGUCUGAUGAGAAAGCCCACGGCUCAACCGUGGAGGGUCAUUGGAAACUGGAUGACUUGAGAGCAGAAGAGGAAAGCGGAAUUCCACGUGUACGGUGAAAUGCGUAGAGAUGCGGAGGAACACCAGUGUCGAAGGCCUUUUCUGAUCUUUAACUGACGCUAACGCGCGAAGGUGAGUGAACAAUCAGGAUAUAUACAGGGG
RNAcentral lists this ribosomal RNA (765 nucleotides) under Neobacillus drentensis. RNAcentral describes it as "bacterial SSU rRNA". It matches the Rfam family "Bacterial small subunit ribosomal RNA", at positions 38 to 790 of the family's 1533-position model. The record is from RNAcentral. Lineage: Bacteria; Bacillati; Bacillota; Bacilli; Caryophanales; Bacillaceae.